UCGUGGGAUGAGCUGUGGUUAGGGGUGAAAUGCCAAUCGAACUCGGAGCUAGCUGGUUCUCCCCGAAAUGCGUUGAGGCGCAGCGGUUGACGAGCCAUGAGCUGUCUAGGGGUAAAGCACUGUAUCGGUGCGGGCUGCGAGAGCGGUACCAAAUCGUAGCAAACUAAGAAUACUAGGCAUGUCUUUCCGUCAACCAGUGAGACAGUGGGGGAUAAGCUCCAUUGUCAAGAGGGAAACAGCCCAGAUCACCAGCUAAGGCCCCUGAAUGAUCGCUAAGUGGAAAAGGAGGUGAGAAUGCCGAAACAGCCAGAAGGUUUGCUUAGAAGCAGCCAUCCUUUAAAGAGUGCGUAAUAGCUCACUGGUGGAGCGUUCUUGCGCCGAAAAUUUACGGGACUAAGCGAUCUGCCGAAGCUGUGGGAUACCGGCACAAAGAGCUGGUAUCGGUAGGGGAGCGUUCCGCCUUAGGGU
RNAcentral lists this ribosomal RNA (468 nucleotides) under Pseudococcomyxa simplex. RNAcentral describes it as "bacterial LSU rRNA". It matches the Rfam family "Bacterial large subunit ribosomal RNA", at positions 797 to 1252 of the family's 2925-position model. Lineage: Eukaryota; Viridiplantae; Chlorophyta; Trebouxiophyceae; Chlorellales; Oocystaceae. The record is from RNAcentral.